AUUAUUUUGUCAGAAGCAUGCACAUAUCAAGAUAGGCCCAUUAAAAAACAAGUACAACAAAAUACAAUAUUGCAAAUAAACUAUAUAUUUCAUUUCAGUAACACAUCACAUGAAAUACAAUACAUCAUCCAAUGUCUACUCUAUACACCAAGGUUCAAGGCCCAACAAGUGAAUACCAAAAUGAUUCUAAAAGUGCACAUAAAAAUAGUUCUAUAUGUGCAAGUGAACAACAAAAGGAUCCAACAAGUGCACAAGCGCACAACAACAUAGUUCUACAAAGAUUGGACGAGAAGCACAAGUUUUAAGUUAUCACACAUAACGUCAAUGAGAAACGAAGCUUCUUGUGCCCUCCUUCUACCCUCCACUUCUUCUGAGUGACUCAGAUCAUCAUGGUAAUAGGAAUAAUCAAACAUAAGAAAGCACACAAAAUAUGAGCAAAAGAAAGACAAAUGGUGAUUUGCAUUCAGCAGUGAGACUUAAAAGUUCACAUCAAUGAACAUAAACACAAGACAUUAAGACAUACUCCCAUAGAAAUUUCAGGACUUGCAAGAUUAUUCGUGUGUUAGCUCUGAACACUUUGUGCAAAAAAGCUCACAUCAAGAACUUCCAAGAUCAAGAUAUGUGAAUAGUGUAUCUUUAACACAGUAUAAUAAACACCACAACCAUGAGCAGUACAACACAACACAACUCAUAAACAACCAAACCAAACUGAUAGCAAACUACUCCCUCUGUCCCAUAAUAUAAAAGCGUGUUUUACGAUACACUAGUGUCAAAAACACUCUUAUAUUAUGGGACGGAGGGAGUAUAAGUUAACCUCAAUGCAAACAACACAUGCACACAAAGUAUACAUGG
RNAcentral lists this long non-coding RNA (852 nucleotides) under Triticum aestivum (bread wheat). Its description in RNAcentral is "long non-coding RNA (TAES_LNC005403)". Lineage: Eukaryota; Viridiplantae; Streptophyta; Magnoliopsida; Poales; Poaceae. The record is from RNAcentral.